UGGGUGCAGGAGGGAGCCGGGCAGAUGGGCUGGGCUCCCAGGAGACGGAGAGGAGGGAAGCCCUCACAGGGAACACCCCCUGCGGCAGAAAUCCUCUUUUCUGGACUAAACGGGACCGUAUUUGGCUGGUUCGUCACCGGUGGGAGUCGUCGUACAGGAUCUAUUCAUAUGGAAUCCAACUUGCAACCUUUUUGGUGUAUGGGAUGACGCGCCAACGAACGGAGCCACCCGGUCAGCGGAAGCCUUGCCUGCCUCGACUUCCCCACCUGUUCCUGGAACUACUCGAGGGUGCGGCCACACCUUAAGGCGCAUCUGGCUCCUUCCCGCAGCCCCCGGCGCUGGGCCCAGCAGGCACUCUGCCUACUCGCUGACCGCUCUCUGAAGAACCUUCCCCAGGGAAGGACGGCCCUGCGCAGAGACGGGAGGACCGGACGGCGGUCAGCGCGGUGGUGGCGAGCCAGCUCCGUCUCCAGAAGGGCUGGCCUGUCCCCCAAGCAGGCGCCUCCUCCAGCCUCCCUCUGAAGGACACUCCAAUGGGACGAGCAGGCAGCUGGUGGCCUCAGCCUGAGCCAGGGACGGCUCAGGGGGGAGGGGCUGUCUGAGGCCAGUUGCCAUGGAUACGGGAUGAGUGGGCCCUGGGGGGCGGGGAGAGCACUGUGCACAGAGCGCCUGCUCUUCUUCCAAACCCAAGC
Long non-coding RNA from Myotis myotis, 692 nucleotides. RefSeq lists it as uncharacterized. The transcript is spliced from 3 exons. The record is from RefSeq and is a predicted model, not a curated record. Lineage: Eukaryota; Metazoa; Chordata; Mammalia; Chiroptera; Vespertilionidae.